AGUAUAUAUAAGACCAGCUUUGCAGAAAGCCAUGUGAUUUGGCUUUCUUCUUGAUUGGCUGACAAGGGAAAAAAAGCACACAGCUUCCCUUGUCAAUCAUAUCAGCCCCCUCCCCCUCCAACUCCAGACAAUUAUGGGUGACAGAGGAUGUUCCACUGAAAAAUAAAGCUCUUGAAACAACAAAUCUUUUAUCAGUCUAUCUGAAAGUUUGUGGCUUGUGUUUUGAUUCAUAAAUUCUUCAGAGGGGUCCUUUCUGAUUAGUAAUUUGGAGGUUCAUAUUUACGAAUCAUCCGAAUCUCCCAAUUUCAAAGCCGGGCUCUGAAGCUUUGCACACCCCUAAUAGAUAUACAUGUCCAUUUUGUUCCUACAUUCUACAUAGAAUAGCUUUUGGAGGUGGCUGGUGGUUCUGUGUCAAAGAGAUGACGGGUCUAUUUUGGGGUUUAAUUUGAAUUUUACUUUGGACAUUAUUACAUGAAGCUCUAAGAAUAGGAUCUGGAGUUGCAAACCCAUCAGAGUGGAUAGCCAGCCACUCUCCCCAUCGUACUGCUAUUUUCUGAAAGUGUUUUAACUUAACUUUUACGUGUUUACCUUAUCAGAUCACUGUGAGUUAACUCAUCCCAACCCAUGUAUUGCCCUCUUCAUCCCUGACAGUUGUUUUUCUGCCAGUGUUGCACAGAUGCAUGAUUUCAGUUUUAUCAUUUCAUGUUUUUGGACCGGCACAAUUGUGCAGUAACAUUGGGAGGAAUGACUAAACCCCUUCCAGAAUUCUAUUCUGCACAGCACAUCUUCCAGCCUUCUUUACUGAUAGCAAUAGGUCUUGAUGAUGUAAUUUUCUUAAUGCUGUGGUGUUUUCUGCUUGUUUGAAGUGAGAGGCAGAGAAUGCUUAGAAGGAAAAGAAUUGUGAAAGCAGUGACAUAGAUUCUGGAAACCCAUGCUCUUUUGAACUCCAGAGUCAUUGAUUCUGUGGCAGAAAUCAGCAAUGUUCUGGCCUGAUUUGGGGCCACAGCAGCACCCAGGUGUUUGUAGGUGAUACCCCAUGUCAGAUGUUAUUAGGGUAAAGAGAAGAGUCGCAUGUCCUAUGAGAUGAUGACAUGUAGCUGAGAACUUCAGGAUGAUGGUGACAUUAUUAUGGAGAUAGAACUCAACAGCUCGAAUGUCUCCCUAAAGUUCAGUCUAAAAUUUGGCAUGGUUUCAUUGUCCCACUGACAGAAACCAUGAAGGUUGUGACUCUUACAGCUAAAUCAUUCCUUUUGGUUUGAUGUGGUCCUUGUGUUGAUCAUUUGUAACAUUACACCCUAGAUGUGGGAGGAACGUGCUUGAGCAGAGGAAUUGUUUGGUUUUAUGGCUUUUUUAUUUUAAGUACGGUACUUCUAGGAAACUGCCUUUGUUUGGCACUGUAUAAACUUAGAAACUAUUACAGAGAAGCAUGGAAAUAUUUUCAUAGCAAUGCACAGUACAUUUAUGCAAACAGAUGGGAGCUGAAGGUAACAAUGAAAAUCUUCCUGACAGGAACUCUUCACAGACUGAAGCCUAUGCUGCCAAGGAAGAUCCUUAACUCUGCUGUUUUGUACCUCUCCAAAUCCACCACCAAUAAACGCUGGCAGUUGUGUUGAAAAACAACAAUCUGGCUCUUAAUGAUAGAGUGAGCAGCUAUGAUCCUGCUCACCACCUCUGAGGAUGCCUGCCAUAGAUGCAGGCGAAAUGUCAGGAGAAAAUGCUUCUGGAAUAUGGCCAGACAGCCUGGAAAGCUCACAGCAACCCAGUGAUUCCAGCCAUGAAAGCCUUUGACAACGCAAGUGUUUGCAGUUUAAUAAACUUUCCCUGUAUUUCAAUGAUAGAACCAAUUGGGAAAUGACUUUCAUAACCAAGGAACAAAAAUGGUGUUCCCUA
This is a long non-coding RNA of Anolis carolinensis (green anole), 1890 nucleotides long. RefSeq lists it as uncharacterized. Lineage: Eukaryota; Metazoa; Chordata; Lepidosauria; Squamata; Anolidae. The record is from RefSeq and is a predicted model, not a curated record. The transcript is spliced from 3 exons.